RNAcentral lists this ribosomal RNA (252 nucleotides) under uncultured bacterium. RNAcentral describes it as "partial 16S ribosomal RNA". It matches the Rfam family "Bacterial small subunit ribosomal RNA", at positions 524 to 773 of the family's 1533-position model. The record is from RNAcentral.
UACGAAGGGGGCUAGCGUUGCUCGGAAUUACUGGGCGUAAAGGGAGCGUAGGCGGAUAGUUCAGUCAGAGGUGAAAGCCCAGGGCUCAACCUUGGAAUUGCCUUUGAUACUGGCUGUCUUGAGUAUGGGAGAGGUUAGCGGAACCUCCGAGUGUAGAGGUGAAAUUCGUAGAUAUUCGGAAGAACACCAGUGGCGAAGGCGGCUAACUGGCCCAUUACUGACGCUGAGGCUCGAAAGCGUGGGGAAGCAAAC